Galleria mellonella (greater wax moth) is the source of this 2476-nucleotide long non-coding RNA. RefSeq lists it as uncharacterized. NCBI's taxonomy places the organism in Eukaryota, Metazoa, Arthropoda, Insecta, Lepidoptera, Pyralidae. The transcript has 3 exons. The record is from RefSeq and is a predicted model, not a curated record.
CUGUUAUUCCACCAAGGUACUGCAAUAUGUUUGUGCCUCUUUGAAGUAUUUGCACCGCUAUUUGAUAAGUUCCUACGUGGAACGGAACGUUCCACAGCUGUCAAAAUAAUUUUACAGAACCUAUUGUAAUUGUUUAAGGGUUCAUUGACAUCAUACUCGAAAUCCAAAAGUAAUCGAUUAACAGUUUCAGAAUAAAGAUCCCAAUUAACGAGACGUAGGUUUAUACGAUUUAACAAAAGUUUAUUAACUUCAUCUAUAGGAGCAUGUUGUUCACCUGACGGAGUUGAUGAAGAGUUCUUUGUGUUUAUUUUAGUAAAAGUCGGCAGGUGAUAACUUCCUAACGGAUCAUCAUGAACCGACCACUCGCAUUUUAAUGAUAUGGAUGGGGAUACCAUAGUUAAAUCAAGGCCAUUGGGUCUCCAAAUAUGAGAGCCAACAGUAGUAACUUGCUUAUCAUUUAAUAGUACCAAAUUACAUUCAUCUAAACAAUCAAGAAUGUCUUUACCUCUUGUAUUAGUGGAGGUACAACCCCACAUAGUAUGAUGUGCAUUUAAAUCUCCAGAUAUGAUAGUGGGUUUAGGAAGAGACUCCAAAAAGAACUUAAAUUUGGCUUUAGUAAAACUAGGUGUACUAUUGGUAGGACAGUAAAUACUGGCAACUGAAUACCAAGAAUUAUUAACUUCAAUACUAAUAGCUAUAGUUUGCAAAGAAUUGUCGAAAAAAGAGUGAAGUUUUUUAUAUCUAAUACUAUUAUGUAUAAUAAUCGCUACUCCAUUGUGGUUAUUACCACAAUCAUUUCGUUCUAUACAAUAAUCUUUAAUUUUUAAUUUGUAAUGUGGUUUUAGCCAAGUUUCUGAGAUGAGAGCAAUGUGAAUAUGAUGUUCGUUUAAAAAUUGUGUAAAAAUAUGUCGAUUGCUCAGUAGGCUCUGAGCGUUCCACUGUAUGAUAGUUAAUUGGUCUCGAUUGAAUUUUGUGAAAUAGGUCUAUUACCAAAAGUAUCAUAUAACACAUUCAAAACACUUUUAGUGUUAAUAGAUGUGUUCUUUGUGUUAUGUAGUGAAAUAAGUUUGAUUAUGCUUUCUAUUAAAAGUGAUAAACUCUUGUUAUCAGAAUUUAGAAUUGAAAUUAGGUCUACAUUUUUUUUAGGUUUGUUACCCAGUUUAGGAAAUAUUUCAGUGCUAAGUAUAUCUCCAAAAGAAGCAGGUCUGAAUUUAGAUCUAUUUUCAGCAAUUUUCUUUUGUUUAACAGGGCAUUGCGGUGAUACACUUGUGUGAUUUCCAUUGCAGUGUACACAAAUAGCGUUUUCCAUUCCAGUUGUACAAGUUUUAUAAUUAUGCUCACCUUUGCAGAUGCUGCAGCGCUCAGAAUUCUUACAGAAUUUAGCUAAAUGUCCAUACCUCAAGCACCGGUAGCAUUGUUUAACUGGUGGUAUAUAUGGAGUGACAUUGUGGCGCCAACCUCCAAUAUCCAGAUAUUCAGGAGGAGAGUGAGAGCAAGUCUCUGGAUCCAAUGGUUUUCUGACUAUCUGAGGAUUCUACAAAGACAACAAAUUCUGUCCCAGGGGAUUCCUCGGGAUAUCUUCUAAUAUAAUCUGUGACGUAGUAAGGUUUAUACUUAUCGGCCUUAUCAAUUUCAGAUUCUGAGUCAGUAGAAGUAUCUUCCGAAUAUAUAUCCUUGUCAUUACAAGGUUCAUGGUCUACAUCACCUGAAUCGUCAUCUUUUUUUUCCUUUUUCUACAACUGCGCUUCCCCAUGAAUGCUAAUUAUAUUACUGUCGCUGAAUUUAGUGAAAAUAUAAUAUUUUAUUCAAUAAUAAGAAUUGAUAGAGAUAGUUUUAAUAAAUUAAUAAAAAAAUUUAAAAAACCCGCUUGUUCUUCCUUUUGACUUGUGUUUGUUGGAUAUUAACAACGACAUUUAUAACUGAUAGAAUGACAGCAACAUCUUACUGUCAGUCUUACAUUAAAGGUUUUUACACAAACGGUAUUUUACACUAUAGACAUUAUUCUUAAUCUAAGGUCUUUCCACUACACCUCAAUAGAGAAGUUAUCAUAGUAUUCCGUAAUAAUCUAAGGAAGUUACAGUGUAUCUCAGUAAUAGAUUUAAUAAAUCGUUUAUAUAAAAUUUAAACAAACGAUUGAUCCAACCAUAAGACGGAUCAUCCUCUCUUACUACGCAUAGUAUAACCGAGUCUUAUUCCUAGCUAUUGAUCCCGAAAAUAACAUUGCCGCUUUAAAAUAGAGAACAUAGAUGUCAGUAACAGAGCUGGAACUGCUGCAAUGGCAAUUUUCAUUUGAAAUAAAAUAAGAUGAUAUUAAAUUUAAUUUGUUAGCUUUUUCUUAUAAAUGGAAAGGUUCUUGUCUAAAACAUGAUAUAACCAUUGACAAAACAUUAUAUAUGUACAACAAACUACAACGCUUUUUUCAUUUGAGACUGGCCUCUAAUAUGAUCAAGUAAUUUGAGACAAGUACGCACAUUUU